RNAcentral lists this ribosomal RNA (252 nucleotides) under uncultured bacterium. RNAcentral's name for it is "partial 16S ribosomal RNA". It matches the Rfam family "Bacterial small subunit ribosomal RNA", at positions 524 to 776 of the family's 1533-position model. The record is from RNAcentral.
UACGUAGGGGGCAAGCGUUGUCCGGAUUUAUUGGGCGUAAAGAGCGUGUAGGCGGCUUGGUAGGUCUCGCGUCAAAACCUGAGGCUCAACCUCAGUUCGCGUGGGAAACCACCUAGCUAGAGUCCGGAAGAGGAGAACGGAAUUCCUGGUGUAGCGGUGAAAUGCGCAGAUAUCAGGAGGAACACCGGUGGCGAAGGCGGAUCUCUGGGCCAUUACUGACGCUGAGGAGCGAAAGCGUGGGGAGCGAACAGG